CCCAGCACCGAAGCCUGCGGCAGUUUUGCUGUUAGGCAAUGUGGUGUUUGGGUCGGCUAGCGGGAUUGCCACUCCACUCGAAGUCCAGCAUUGAGUAUGGUCACUGGAUUUGGCCCAGAGAGGGUGAAAGGCCCGUACGGGUGGAGGUUCAAACAUGUAAGGCAAUUCACCAGGCCGGCCUUAGAGUCGGGUUGUUUGUGAAUGCAGCCCAAAGCGGGUGGUAAACUCCAUCCAAGGCUAAAUACUAGCACGAGUCCGAUAGCGAACAAGUACCGUGAGGGAAAGUUGAAAAGUACUUUGAAGAGAGAGUAAACAGUACGUGAAACCGCAUGCAGGUAAACGGGUGGCGUCAAGCUGCGAGCCCAGAGGAUUCAGCUGGCUAGGGUGUUGUGUAUGCGCCUGGCGCAUCAGUCAGUCAGAGUAGGAUUGUGUAGUCCACUGGAUAACGGUGGGCCUGGCCGCAAGGUUGGGACAUGUGUACCGGAUGGUAGCCGGAGCAUACUGCACGUCUAUGGACUGUCUAGCCAGUGCACUUUCUCUGUGGUGAACACCACGACCGGUGGUAUUGCCAGUCUGCUGUAGUCAAGUCGUGUUCAGUAGGUUCUUGUAAUCAAUUGGAUGCGAUCACAGGCAAACUCAGUAAACGGCGUAGGGACGUUUUGGCGACUCUGCGUGUUAUCGGCUACUGGUUGUCAACGGGCCGGCCUGAUGAUUGUUGUAAUCGUCAUCGGGUGGUUCGGUGGGCUAUGGUGGUAUGAAUAACUGUGCAAGGCGCCGGUGUUCUCGACCUCAAAUGCAUCCUGCGCGCACAUUACAAGUGGAGUGGGGUGCCGUUGCGUCCUGCCUAUUGUUAGGUCUGAUUGUCGUGUCGCCUGCGCAAAGUGGGCCCGGCAGUGGCCUGAUAUGGGAUGGGGCGUGGAUGGUGCUUCCAGUGCGGGGUGUGGUGGGUGAAACAGUCAGUGGUGCAGUGGUAGACGAGCUACCCGACCCGUCUUGAAACACGGACCAAGGAGUUUAACAUGUAUGCGAGUCAAAGGGCGUUACGAAACCCAAAGGCGCAAUGAAAGUAAAGCUUCGACUUGUUCUCGGAGUGAGGUGAGAUCCUGCUGUUACUCGCAUCAGCCUCUUGUCAGCAUCAGGCUAAGAGCGGUAGGCGCAUCACCGGCCCGUCCCAUGAUGUGGCCAUUGGA
RNAcentral lists this ribosomal RNA (1190 nucleotides) under Crossobothrium sp. Ct198H. Its description in RNAcentral is "partial 28S ribosomal RNA". It matches the Rfam family "Eukaryotic large subunit ribosomal RNA", at positions 108 to 788 of the family's 3401-position model. Lineage: Eukaryota; Metazoa; Platyhelminthes; Cestoda; Phyllobothriidea; Phyllobothriidae. The record is from RNAcentral.